Oryzias latipes (Japanese medaka) is the source of this 445-nucleotide non-coding RNA. The record is from RefSeq and is a predicted model, not a curated record. Lineage: Eukaryota; Metazoa; Chordata; Actinopteri; Beloniformes; Adrianichthyidae.
UCCCUUUUUGUCAUGUAUUAGCUUUGCAAGUUGGCUUUCACGCGCUGAUCCGCGUCGUUGACACUCAAUUGGUAGAGUCCGAUGUCCUUCGCUUGGCGAGUCGGUAGCUAAAGGCCGCUGGUUGAUACAAAAAUAAGGGAGCCAUGGUGAAUCCUGCAGCCCGCCGAUACUGGGUACAUUUAUUUGUUCCCAUGGGCUUUGUGAUUGGCUGGUACCUUGAUAAACUACAAGACCAAAAGCUGACAGCUUUUAGAAACAAGAGUGCAUUGUUUGGAAGGGAGCUAAAGCCUGGCGAGGAGGUGACCUGGAGGUAGAAGCUUCCCGCCUGGAAAAUCAUCCUCUCAGCUGUGGUGUAAAUGAUAAAUAAGAAGAGUCAUGUGACUCCCUUGUCACGUCCUUUGAGUUGUAUCAACCAAUAAUAAAUAUGGUCUCUCAAAAUGUUGAA